RNAcentral lists this long non-coding RNA (472 nucleotides) under Cucumis sativus (cucumber). RNAcentral describes it as "long non-coding RNA (CSAT_LNC003033)". The record is from RNAcentral. Lineage: Eukaryota; Viridiplantae; Streptophyta; Magnoliopsida; Cucurbitales; Cucurbitaceae.
UUUAUUUGAGUUGGAAGCCUGCUGCAAAAUCUGUUUUGGAGUUUGUUCGAUCUGUCCAUGAUGAUACAAAUUUGUUAUGAUCAUACUGCAUUUUGAAGUUUUGGGGUAUUUUUCUUCCAUUUCUUUUCUUCUUCCAAUUUCUGCUUAUCUUUAUAUUCUUUCUUCUGUAUAUUAUUUUCUAAUGGUCACUUGUUGUGCAAUAGCUUUCUUUUAAGUCAUUGGCUACUUGUUGUGAAAUGGUGUCACUUCUUAGGAACGUUUUGGCGAGCAUGGAUGCUGUUUAUUUUAGUUGGACGCCCACUGCAAAAUCUGUUUUGGAGUUUGUUCGAUCUGUUCGUGAUGAUACCAAUCUGUUAUGAUCCUAUUGCACUUGCAACUUUUAGGGUAUUUUUCUUCCAUUUCUUUUCUACUUCCAGUUUCAUUUUCAAUUUCUGCAAAUUUUUUAGUUUUUCAUAUGUAUAUUGUUUUCCAA